This is a non-coding RNA of Pelobates cultripes (western spadefoot toad), 493 nucleotides long. The record is from the annotation of a GenBank genome assembly. Lineage: Eukaryota; Metazoa; Chordata; Amphibia; Anura; Pelobatidae.
UGACUGCCUGCCUGUGUGUGACUGUCUGUGUGUGUGACUGUCUGUCUGUGUGACUGCCCAUGUAUGUGACUGCCUGUGUGUGUGACUGUCUGUCUGUGUGUGUGACUGCCUGUGUGUGUGACUGCCUGUAUGUGACUGCCUGCCUGCCUGUGUGUGUCUGUCUGUAACUAUCUGUCUGUGUGUGACUGCCUGUCUGUGUGUGUGACUUUCUAUCUGUGUGACUGCCUGCCUGUGUGUGUAUAACUGUCUAUGUGUGUGUUACUGUGUGUCUGUCUGUGUGUGUGACUGCCUAUGUGACUGUCUGUCUGUGUGUGUCACUGUAGCUGUGCCAUUGUUUGUGCCUGUGCCUGUAUGUGUGACUGUGCCAUUGUUUGUGCCUGUGCCUGUAUGUGUGACUGCCUUUAACUGAGUGUGUGUGUACAUGCCUGUAACCGAGUUUAAAUUUCCCCCACCCCUUCCUGUCAAGGCCGCACUUUGACUGACAGACGCUCAC